UAGGGAAUCUUCGGCAAUGGGGGCAACCCUGACCGAGCAACGCCGCGUGAGUGAAGAAGGUUUUCGGAUCGUAAAGCUCUGUUGUAAGAGAAGAACGUGUGUGAGAGUGGAAAGUUCACACAGUGACGGUAACUUACCAGAAAGGGACGGCUAACUACGUGCCAGCAGCCGCGGUAAUACGUAGGUCCCGAGCGUUGUCCGGAUUUAUUGGGCGUAAAGCGAGCGCAGGCGGUUUAAUAAGUCUGAAGUUAAAGGCAGUGGCUUAACCAUUGUUCGCUUUGGAAACUGUUAAAUUUGAGUGCAGAAGGGGAGAGUGGAAUUCCAUGUGUAGCGGUGAAAUGCGUAGAUAUAUGGAGGAACACCGGUGGCGAAAGCGGCUCUCUGGUCUGUAACUGACGCUGAGGCUCGAAAGCGUGGGGAGCAAACAGG
RNAcentral lists this ribosomal RNA (429 nucleotides) under bacterium. Its description in RNAcentral is "partial 16S ribosomal RNA". It matches the Rfam family "Bacterial small subunit ribosomal RNA", at positions 355 to 776 of the family's 1533-position model. The record is from RNAcentral.